AUUGAACGCUGGCGGCAUGCUCUACACAUGCAAGUCGAACGGUAACAGGCCGCAAGGUGCUGACGAGUGGCGAACGGGUGAGUAAUGCAUCGGAACGUGCCCAGUCGUGGGGGAUAACUACUCGAAAGAGUAGCUAAUACCGCAUACGAUCUAUGGAUGAAAGCGGGGGACCGUAAGGCCUCGCGCGAUUGGAGCGGCCGAUGUCAGAUUAGGUAGUUGGUGGGGUAAAGGCUCACCAAGCCAACGAUCUGUAGCUGGUCUGAGAGGACGACCAGCCACACUGGGACUGAGACACGGCCCAGACUCCUACGGGAGGCAGCAGUGGGGAAUUUUGGACAAUGGGCGCAAGCCUGAUCCAGCAAUGCCGCGUGCAGGAAGAAGGCCUUCGGGUUGUAAACUGCUUUUGUACGGAACGAAACGGCUCUGGUUAAUACCCGGGGCUAAUGACGGUACCGUAAGAAGAAGCACCGGCUAACUACGUG
This 482-nucleotide ribosomal RNA is filed under the name uncultured bacterium. RNAcentral's name for it is "partial 16S ribosomal RNA". It matches the Rfam family "Bacterial small subunit ribosomal RNA", at positions 30 to 507 of the family's 1533-position model. The record is from RNAcentral.